CCUUUUGCAUGAUUUCUUCCCGACUUUAGAAUGAUAACUUUCAAAAUUAGGGUUUUCUUCGCUUUCACACUUUAUACCGAAUGGCAUUUUUUCUUUUUCAGAUAAUUUUGAGAGGUUAAAGACAGAUUUUACCAGAUCAUCUUGGCUAUUGUCUUUUCCAAAAAUUAAAACCCGAAAUUUUUCAAUUUUUAAACUUGAUUCUUCAUCGACACCGCUCUCGUACUCUAUAGCAGUAUCGGGAUCUUCUUUGGGCAAAUCACGAUAUUGAUCCAUUGGUCUCGUAAUGUAUUAGCAUCAAGUCGUCAGUAAACUGUGAAUCUAACUAGCAAACAGUGCGAAAAGGUAUCUAUUAAAAUAUAUGUUUAAAAUGAAAGUACAUCCUUCUCUAAAUUAGGUGGUUAAAGAAUGGAGUUUAAUCAAUUUCUUUCUGGUGUGAUCAUUAAGCAAAAUGAAGACACUCACUAUAAAGGCUUAAAAAAGUUUGGAAUUGACAAAAUGUUAUGACUGGGCUUACUAGUUUGCUUUGUUAAAUAGCUUUAUUUUAACUAUGAUGGCAUCGAAUGCAAUAGUGUAGAUAGAUAGGUGCUUAUACAUUAUUUUGGAUAAUGAAAUUUUGAUGAUUG
This is a non-coding RNA of Schizosaccharomyces pombe (fission yeast), 623 nucleotides long. Lineage: Eukaryota; Fungi; Ascomycota; Schizosaccharomycetes; Schizosaccharomycetales; Schizosaccharomycetaceae. The record is from the annotation of a GenBank genome assembly.